CAUUACCGAGUUUACAACUCCCAAACCCCUGUGAACAUACCAUUUGUUGCCUCGGCGGUGCCUGCUUCGGCAGCCCGCCAGAGGACCCAAACCCUUGAUUUUAUACAGUAUCUUCUGAGUAAAUGAUUAAAUAAAUCAAAACUUUCAACAACGGAUCUCUUGGUUCUGGCAUCGAUGAAGAACGCAGCGAAAUGCGAUAAGUAAUGUGAAUUGCAGAAUUCAGUGAAUCAUCGAAUCUUUGAACGCACAUUGCGCCCGCCAGUAUUCUGGCGGGCAUGCCUGUUCGAGCGUCAUUUCAACCCUCAAGCCCCCGGGCUUGGUGUUGGAGAUCGGCGUGCCCCCCGGGGCGCGCCGCCUCCCAAAUAUAGUGGCGGUCUCGCUGUAGCUUCCUCUGCGUAGUAGCACACCUCGCACUGGAAAACAGCGUGGCCACGCCGUUAAACCCCCCACUUCUGAAAGGUUGACCUCGGAUCAGGUAGGAAUACCCGCUGAACUUAAGCAUAUCAAUAAGCGGAGGAAAAGAAACCAACAGGGAUUGCCCUAGUAACGGCGAGUGAAGCGGCAACAGCUCAAAUUUGAAAUCUGGCCCUCGGGUCCGAAUUGUAAUUUGUAGAGGAUGCUUUUGGUGAGGUACCUUCCGAGUUCCCUGGAACGGGACGCCAUAGAGGGUGAGAGCCCCGUCUGGUCGGAUACCGAUCCUCUGUAAAGCUCCUUCGACGAGUCGAGUAGUUUGGGAAUGCUGCUCUAAAUGGGAGGUAUAUGUCUUCUAAAGCUAAAUAUUGGCCAGAGACCGAUAGCGCACAAGUAGAGUGAUCGAAAGAUGAAAAGCACUUUGAAAAGAGAGUUAAAAAGUACGUGAAAUUGUUGAAAGGGAAGC
This 877-nucleotide ribosomal RNA is filed under the name Ilyonectria sp. nwa_ktma_12_2f. Its description in RNAcentral is "eukaryotic LSU rRNA". The stretch from base 462 to 877 matches the Rfam family "Eukaryotic large subunit ribosomal RNA", at positions 1 to 420 of the family's 3401-position model. The record is from RNAcentral. Lineage: Eukaryota; Fungi; Ascomycota; Sordariomycetes; Hypocreales; Nectriaceae.